RNAcentral lists this ribosomal RNA (504 nucleotides) under Triticum aestivum (bread wheat). RNAcentral's name for it is "partial small subunit ribosomal RNA". Lineage: Eukaryota; Viridiplantae; Streptophyta; Magnoliopsida; Poales; Poaceae. The record is from RNAcentral.
AUGAAUUAUGCUUAUGGAUAUGAACUUGCUAUUGUUUCUUAUGUUAAACAUGAAAUUGUUGCUAUUGCACCCACACAUGAUAGUCCUAUUAUCUUUUUGGAUUCUCCCAACUACACUAUAUCAGAGAAGUUUGCUCUUAUUACAGAUUAUAUUAAUGGGCUGCGUUUUACCAUUGCACAUGAUGAUUUUGAUGAAUAUAAUAUGCAUGUUCUUGUUUCUCCUACUUGCACUUAUUAUGAGAGAGGAACUACAUGUCUGCAUGUCUAUGUUUCCAAUACAAUAAAAUUGCAAGAAACUGUCUAUGCUAUGUAUCAACCUUUAUUAUGUGUGCAUGAAUUGUUCUUUUAUGACAUGUCGAUGCAUAGGAAGAUAGUUAGACUUCGUCAAUGCAUGAUAUAUCUUGCUUGGUGCUCACUACUAAAUUACAAACCAUUGUUAAUUAAAAUUAGCUUUGAUAUACCUUGGGAUCCAGGUGGGUCAAUUACUUCAGCACUUUAUGCCUAG